Molecule: transfer RNA, 76 nt
Filed under: Bacteroidota bacterium
Lineage: Bacteria; Pseudomonadati; Bacteroidota
Also listed under: 2 other names
Description: tRNA-Gly
Rfam family: tRNA
About the family: Transfer RNA (tRNA) molecules are approximately 80 nucleotides in length. Their secondary structure includes four short double-helical elements and three loops (D, anti-codon, and T loops).
Source: RNAcentral
GCGGAAGUAGCUCAUUUGGUAGAGCAUCAGCCUUCCAAGCUGAGGGUAGCGAGUUCGAGCCUCGUCUUCCGCUCCA